UAAUACGUAGGGGGCAAGCGUUGUCCGGAUUUAUUGGGCGUAAAGAGCUCGUAGGUGGUUCGAUAAGUCGGGUGUGAAACCUCCAGGCUCAACCUGGAGACGCCACCCGAUACUGUCGUGACUAGAGUCCAGUAGGGGAGCGUGGAAUUCCUGGUGUAGCGGUGAAAUGCGCAGAUAUCAGGAGGAACA
RNAcentral lists this ribosomal RNA (189 nucleotides) under uncultured bacterium. RNAcentral's name for it is "partial 16S ribosomal RNA". It matches the Rfam family "Bacterial small subunit ribosomal RNA", at positions 521 to 708 of the family's 1533-position model. The record is from RNAcentral.